Long non-coding RNA from Rhinopithecus roxellana (golden snub-nosed monkey), 641 nucleotides. RefSeq lists it as uncharacterized. The transcript has 4 exons. Lineage: Eukaryota; Metazoa; Chordata; Mammalia; Primates; Cercopithecidae. The record is from RefSeq and is a predicted model, not a curated record.
AUUUCUUUUAGGUCCUCCUUGAACCCAGCAGGCCCCUGGCACCCAGUAAGCUAAACCUAGUGUUUACAUCAAGCUACAGUGUGGCCAUACUUGAGAAUCCAGGACUGGGAUCUGAGCUUCAAAGCUGGGAGAGGCCCUGAUACACACCUGACCACAAACCAGCAAGCACACACUGUAUGCACCACCAUCGGUUAUCAAGAUGAAAACUAAGUCAGAUUCUAUGACAGCAUCAGGUCUCUUGCUGUGAUGAAAACACCAUUAGGAUGUGAGGGGCAUUUCCACCACGCUGUCAGGCAGGGCCUGGCCUCUCACCAACCAGUCUAGUUCUACCGGGGACUGCUUGCAGCCAAGACUCACCCAGGCUGUGUCUGUCCCACAGAAUCCUAAGUGUGGACGCACUAGAGGAUCCCAUCUGACCUGCAUCCCACACCUGCCCGCCCACGCAGCCAGACCUCCACCCUACUAUCUCGCAGGGACCCUGCCCGACUCCCACACCCGCCUCUCCUUCGGGGUGUGGAGCUGCAGAGACAGGGCUGUGGUCUACAGCACACUCAGAAGCCCGGGUCUGGGCACUCACCCUGAGGACACCCGUCUGUGCGCCCAGGCCCUUGGUGCACAUCUCCAUCACGGAGUAGGAGCAG